ACGAACGCUGGCGGCGUGCUUAACACAUGCAAGUCGAACGGAAAGGCCCUGCUUUUGUGGGGUGCUCGAGUGGCGAACGGGUGAGUAACACGUGAGUAACCUGCCCUUGACUUUGGGAUAACUUCAGGAAACUGGGGCUAAUACCGGAUAGGAGCUCCUGCUGCAUGGUGGGGGUUGGAAAGUUUCGGCGGUUGGGGAUGGACUCGCGGCUUAUCAGCUUGUUGGUGGGGUAGUGGCUUACCAAGGCUUUGACGGGUAGCCGGCCUGAGAGGGUGACCGGCGAGAUUGGGGUAGAGAUCACGGCGGGGCGGCGACGGGGGCCAGGAGGGCGGGGGGGUGCUCGAGGCGCUGAGGCUGGAUCCCGUCACGCCGUGUGCGGGAUGGGGGGUGGCGGUUUGGAAAACGCAUUCGGCGGAGACGUAGGGGGAGUGACGGGAGUGGGUAAAGCAGCAGAGCCGCAUCCCAUC
RNAcentral lists this ribosomal RNA (467 nucleotides) under uncultured bacterium. Its description in RNAcentral is "partial 16S ribosomal RNA". It matches the Rfam family "Bacterial small subunit ribosomal RNA", at positions 29 to 507 of the family's 1533-position model. The record is from RNAcentral.